This 468-nucleotide ribosomal RNA is filed under the name uncultured bacterium. RNAcentral's name for it is "partial 16S ribosomal RNA". It matches the Rfam family "Bacterial small subunit ribosomal RNA", at positions 28 to 507 of the family's 1533-position model. The record is from RNAcentral.
GACGAACGCUGGCGGCGUGCUUAACACAUGCCAGUCGAACGGAAAGGCCCUGCUUUUGUGGGGUUCUCGAGUGCGGAACGGGGGAGUAACACGUGAGUAACCUGCCCUUGUCUUUCGGAUAACUUCAGGAAACUGGGGCUAAUACCGGAUAGGAUAUCCUGCUGCAUGGUGGGGGGUGGAAAGUUUCGGCGGUUGGGGAUGGACUCGCGGCUUAUGAGCUUGUUGGUGGGGUAGUUGCUUACCAAGGCUGUGACGGAUAGCCGGCCUGGGAGGGGGACCGGGCACCAGAGUCCUAAGAGAGGCAGCAGUGUGGAAUAGGAGGCAGCGGGCGGAAGUAUGACACAGUGAGCGGGAGUGUGUGACGAAGGCGCCGGGUGCGUGAAGCCGGCUUGUGGGUUGAGAACAGCUUUCGCCUGAGACGAAGCGUGAGUGACGGUAAUGAAUAAAGAAGCACCGGCUAACUACGUG